Molecule: small nucleolar RNA, 136 nt
Organism: Sorex fumeus (smoky shrew)
Lineage: Eukaryota; Metazoa; Chordata; Mammalia; Eulipotyphla; Soricidae
Source: RefSeq, a predicted model, not a curated record
CUCACUUGAAUCAAGACCCGCGGUUUGCUGAAACUGCUGGUUUCAAGCAGGAGCCUAAAGAAAAAUCUUCCUAUGAUCUGUUGAUCAUUUCAGAGUUUUCUAAAUGGGAUGGUUGAUUCACUAGAAAGAAACAUCU